CCCUACGGGGCGCAGCAGGCGCGAAAACUUCGCAAUGCGGGAAACCGUGACGAGGGAAUCCCGAGUGCUCAUACAAUGUAUGGGCUUUUCUUAUGUGUAAAUAGCAUGAGGAAUAAGGGCUGGGUAAGACCGGUGCCAGCCGCCGCGGUAAUACCGGCAGCUCUAGUGGUAGCCACUUUUAUUGGGCCUAAAGCGUCCGUAGCCGGUCAGGUAAAUCCUUGGGUAAAUCGUACAGCUUAACUGUGCGGCUUCCGGGGAGACUGCCUGACUUGGGACCGGGAGAGGUUGGAGGUACUCCUGGGGUAGGGGUGAAAUCCUGUAAUCCUAGGUGGACCACCGGUGGCGAAGGCGUCCAACCAGAACGGCUCCGACGGUGAGGGACGAAGGCUAGGGGCGCAAACCGGAUUAGAUACCCGGGUAGUCCUAGCUGUAAACGCUGCAGACUUGGUGUUGGAGAUCCCACGAGGGUUUCCAGUGCCGGAGAGAAGUUGUUAAGUUUGCCGCCUGGGAAGUAUGGCCGCAAGGCUGAAACUUAAAGGAAUUUUCAAGAGCAC
This 554-nucleotide ribosomal RNA is filed under the name uncultured archaeon. RNAcentral describes it as "bacterial SSU rRNA". It matches the Rfam family "Archaeal small subunit ribosomal RNA", at positions 321 to 877 of the family's 1478-position model. The record is from RNAcentral.